Small nucleolar RNA from Ornithorhynchus anatinus (platypus), 137 nucleotides. The record is from RefSeq and is a predicted model, not a curated record. NCBI's taxonomy places the organism in Eukaryota, Metazoa, Chordata, Mammalia, Monotremata, Ornithorhynchidae.
CACCUCUCAGGGUCGCACCUGGAGAGUUUCCAGUACUCUAUCAGUCUCAACUAUGGGAGAGAGAGUCAAGCAGAGGCAAACCAUUCAAUUCCUAGCUUGGCCAGUGGCUAGUGAGUGGAAGGCAAUCUGCUACAAGU